Molecule: ribosomal RNA, 101 nt
Filed under: Periophthalmus magnuspinnatus
Lineage: Eukaryota; Metazoa; Chordata; Actinopteri; Gobiiformes; Gobiidae
Source: RNAcentral
CCAAAUCUCCAUGUCAAAGCCUAAUCACGCCUGAUGUCUGAAGAGAAGCAAGGCCCACCCUGGUUAGUACUUGGAUGGGAGCCCGCUGUGAACACCAGCUG